UGCGGCUGUCCCUGCUCCAGCUCCUAGGAGGGAACAGACCCAGGGCCGCCGCGCCGCAUCGUUUGUUCCGGCUUCCCUAAGGAAGGCAUUCUGCUGAGUCACUUCCGAGGCCACAGCUGCAGCCUUGGGAACAAUACGUGUCAUUCAAUUCACUAGGCAGCGCCCCAGCGCUCACCUAGGGGACCUGGCCACAGUCUCUUGGUAAAGGCCUCUUCAUAACCAACGCGGCCAACCCCACCUCACCCCGAUGGCGACAUCCUGGGCCAAGUGGGCUCCCACCUCAGGGCCUUUGCAGUAAGCUGCGCUAGCUGCCUGGUACCCACUUGCCGCCAGGGCACCUGUAUCCUGGACAUCCAAUUCCCACCCUCAUUGCCAAGGCCCCUGCUCCGGCUGGGGUUGCAUCAGGGAAGAACGAGAAGGCAUCUGCGAGCCUGAUCCUCAGGCGGCUUGGAUGCGCACUUAGAUUGGCAACGAUGUCCAGGUGCAAACUGCAGACCUGAUGCGCACACGUGCUGGAUGGUGCUAGGGGACAGGUGUGCGCCCAGGUCUGUGUGGCCGUGCGCGAGGCUGCUCGUGAGCAGCGUGGGGACGGGCGCACUGAAUGUGCCUUCCACAAUUUCCCUGCUGACCUGGAUGCCGGCCCCAGAGCUAUUGUGUGCCAGCUCCGAGCACACCCAUCACAGUGGGACAAGACUCCGCCGUGGGGGCUGCAAACUACAUUCCCCAGAAUCUAUGGCUGCCAGCUUCCUGCUGGGCUGGGCCAAUAGGAAGUACCAGGGAUGUAAGCUUUCAGGGGCGUGGACGCGAUUAGCAUUUGAUGACACUUGGGGACCCCUUCUCAGAAUGAAGCUUU
Molecule: long non-coding RNA, 853 nt
Organism: Sapajus apella (tufted capuchin)
Lineage: Eukaryota; Metazoa; Chordata; Mammalia; Primates; Cebidae
Exons: 2
Source: RefSeq, a predicted model, not a curated record